GAGAAAAUACAUAUAGAUAUACAUGUGUGUACUUUCCUAUGUCUACAGAUUUUGAAAAAGAUUGUCACACCUUUGUCUCUAGUGUGGUCCUUCUCAAAAAUCUGGAAAGGGAUGACUUCAGUUCUCAAAGACAAACAAAGUUCAUUACAACUACUGAAUCAUUACUGGCACAACGAAGAAGAUACAAACCACCUAAGAGCUACAGAGAUUGUGAGCCCCAGCUACCAAGUCUGACUCAUUAGCUCGAGUUCUGGAGGAUCCAGGCUCUGCCCUGAGUCCCCGGUACUACUGUUCAAGUGUGAGGACCACGAGUGAAGUCUUCACAUGUACACAGGCACAUUUGUUUAGGUAAGAUAUUCACUGAACAGAAGAUCUAGAACAAAAUAUGCUCCAAAACUAAGAACAUAUCACUAUCAUUAAAACAAAUUUUCAUAGCCUGUAUGUAAUCCUUUCUGAUAGCCCACUACCUCCUACAGAAGUUGUUAAAAAAAAAAAAAAACACACUCCCCAAAGCCACUUUUUAUUAUCUUUACUUGAGACAAAUGAAUGCACCCAUUUGUUUGUACAUAAUGUACAAAGCAGCAGAAUCACCAUCUCUUAGAAUGCCAAAGAACCUCUCAAUUGAAACAUCUUUUUUUGUAAUCUCACUGUCCACUGCUGGAGAAGUAGCUGGUCAGCCCUCCGAGAC
This 688-nucleotide long non-coding RNA is filed under the name Anas platyrhynchos (mallard). Its description in RNAcentral is "lncRNA (ENSAPLG00020013761.1)". Lineage: Eukaryota; Metazoa; Chordata; Aves; Anseriformes; Anatidae. The record is from RNAcentral.